GGCUAAUCAUAGUGCCAUGGUGUUUACAACUAAUUGAUUGUAACUAGUUACAGAUUUGUUUCUUCUCCACUCCCACUGCUUCACUUGACUAGUCUUAA
Homo sapiens (human) is the source of this 98-nucleotide unclassified non-coding RNA. It matches the Rfam family "Y RNA". Rfam says of the family: Y RNAs are components of the Ro ribonucleoprotein particle (Ro RNP), in association with Ro60 and La proteins. The record is from Ensembl. Lineage: Eukaryota; Metazoa; Chordata; Mammalia; Primates; Hominidae.